Tachysurus fulvidraco (yellow catfish) is the source of this 1266-nucleotide long non-coding RNA. RefSeq lists it as uncharacterized. The record is from RefSeq and is a predicted model, not a curated record. NCBI's taxonomy places the organism in Eukaryota, Metazoa, Chordata, Actinopteri, Siluriformes, Bagridae. The transcript has 14 exons.
GUUCAUUUUAAAGCCUUUUUUUUAGUAAUUCGUAUGAGACUUUUAGACUGUAAAAGUGGGCGUGGUUUAGGGGUCCGUUAUAAAGACGCAUCGCCCUCCGACUCGGCCAUUUUCCCUGCAGCUCACACUGAGGUUUUGUGCAGUGGAUCCAGUUGAGGCCAAAAGCAUUGGAGGUGACGUGAAUGAAUUUUGCAAAGUUUGCUGCUUAAGCUGUUGUGUGUUCAUGCACGUUGUUCCUAGUUUAUUGUGCAGAGUGAGCAGAUGGAUCCGCACCAAACUUCCCUGGCAUAAAAUAACCAGCUAACACUAUUUCUCUAAUCAGCACGUUUGAAAGUGUGAAGUAUUAGUCAGGCAAACUCACUACCUUACUGAUUGAAUUUUAAGAGCAGAUUGAUUAUUAUAAAAUUAGGUGAAAAGUGCUUCCAAUCAUUGUGUUCUUGUUAGCAAUGGUCCGCAGAGAGAACCUCACAGACCUACUAAAAUUUUGCACAAAAUAUAAGGAUUGGUGCAAAGCUAUUUUUUCGGAAGCUUCCCUUCUGGCCGUUUGGGACAUCUGGAAAACUUGUUGUCCCGAGAAGAGCUGAAAAAUGUAAACUUUGAAAUGUACGUAAUGUGUGUCAUGGUUUGCCAGUGUUUUGUAGAAACAUGUAGAAAGUAUCUUCAAACACUGAAGCAGCAAACAUUGCAAAACAAUAUGCAUCACUUCCAAAGCUGACUCUGACUGUACAGCAGCUGAACAGCUUUUUUGGACUUCCUUGACAAAUGAAAGAUGUUUCUCAAACUUCUCAAUGGCCCAGUGUGCGUUGUGCCCAUAUUGACCCCAGCAUCCAUAUUUUUUUGAAAGACUUGCUGAUGCUGUGCAAGGUGAACACCUAUCUGUGAUCAUGGCUUCAACCAUUGAUGUUUUCCCCUGAAACACUGAGGGUGUUUUCAGAUUGGAGAUUCAUCGCUUUGAAUCUCUAAUCAGAGUUUCAUGCCAAAUUGUCCCAGGAGUUCUGUGCUCUGAUGGGUUUUAAAACAGAACUGGAUGAUCUACUGUGGUUUUCAGGGUUAUCCUGGCAGUUUCUUACACAGCUGAAGGUCUGGAUGAACUGGGCACCAUUUGAGAGGAAGCCUUUCCUUGAUCAGGAGGUAAUUAAGAUCCUGGAGUGCUGCCUUAGACACGGUCCUCUCUAAAUAGAACUGAGUAACUUGGUGCUGUGGAGGACAUGGACAUGAAGUUAUGCCUACAAAUGCUGUCAGAACUUAAUAAAGCUCUUGAGUGAA